CUACUCUGGUUUCCUUCAAAACGCAUAAUCUUUCGCGCCUUUUACUAAAGAAUUUCCGUGGAGGGAACAACUCAAUGAGUCCUUACUCAAUUUUUUUGCUAUAGCCCACUCGUGGUCAAAC
This 121-nucleotide small nuclear RNA is filed under the name Penaeus monodon (black tiger shrimp). RNAcentral's name for it is "U5 spliceosomal RNA". It matches the Rfam family "U5 spliceosomal RNA". From Rfam's summary of the family: U5 RNA is a component of both types of known spliceosome. The precise function of this molecule is unknown, though it is known that the 5' loop is required for splice site selection and p220 binding, and that both the 3' stem-loop and the Sm site are important for Sm protein binding and cap methylation. The record is from RNAcentral. Lineage: Eukaryota; Metazoa; Arthropoda; Malacostraca; Decapoda; Penaeidae.